GGCAGAAUUCACAUUGCAAAACUCACCUUUUUUCGUCCACAAAAGGAACAACUAAGAACUAUUAAGAAACCAUAAAUUUCAUAAAAAAUUACUUGGCUGCAUGAGUUUCUAAAAGGAAAAACCAAAGCAGCAACAAAUGCACAAAAACACCCUCCAAUCGCUAAACUUGCAUUCUUGAUGUAAAUUACAAAAACUCGUCUCCGAGUUAUGCAUGGCUCCUGUAGUAGCAAUGUCAUAUACAUAGUUAACCUCUAAAAUAAAAACAUGUCAAGACAGAUAAUAUCAAAGAACUGAGUAGACUUUACGCCCCCUAAUAGCAAGGGAUGACCAUCGCAACGAAAAGCUACUGCUCAUUAGCCUACGAUUCUAGGAUUCUUGCUCAAUCUUGAUGCACCUCCUCAGCAGGUGGGGGAGCAAAUCUCACAUU
This 427-nucleotide unclassified non-coding RNA is filed under the name Hevea brasiliensis (rubber tree). The record is from RNAcentral. Lineage: Eukaryota; Viridiplantae; Streptophyta; Magnoliopsida; Malpighiales; Euphorbiaceae.